GACAUACCUCUGGUGUACCAGUUGUCGUGCCAACGGCAUAGCUGGGUAGCUAUGUGAGGACGGGAUAAGUGCUGAAAGCAUCUAAGCAUGAAGCCCCCCUCAAGAUGAGAUUUCACAACUUCGGUUAUAAGAUCCCUCAAAGAUGAUGAGGUUAAUAGGUUCGAGGUGGAAGCCUGGUGACAUGUGGAGCUGACGAAUACUAAUCGAUCGAAGACUUAAUCAA
This 223-nucleotide ribosomal RNA is filed under the name Staphylococcus aureus. Its description in RNAcentral is "partial 23S ribosomal RNA". It matches the Rfam family "Bacterial large subunit ribosomal RNA", at positions 2700 to 2925 of the family's 2925-position model. The record is from RNAcentral. Lineage: Bacteria; Bacillati; Bacillota; Bacilli; Caryophanales; Staphylococcaceae.